ACACAUGCAGUCGAACGAUGAAGGAGGAGCUUGCUCCUCUGGAUUAGUGGCGAACGGGUGAGUAACACGUGAGCAAUCUGCCCCUGACUCUGGGAUAAGCGCUGGAAACGGCGUCUAAUACCGGAUACGAGCCGAGCAGGCAUCUGCAGCGGCUGGAAAGAACUUCGGUCAGGGAUGAGCUCGCGGCCUAUCAGCUAGUUGGUGAGGUAANGGCUCACCAAGGCGACGACGGGUAGCCGGCCUGAGAGGGUGACCGGCCACACUGGGACUGAGACACGGCCCAGACUCCUACGGGAGGCAGCAGUGGGGAAUAUUGCACAAUGGGCGAAAGCCUGAUGCAGCAACGCCGCGUGAGGGACGAAGGCCUUCGGGUUGUAAACCUCUUUUAGCAGGGAAGAAGCGAAAGUGACGGUACCUGCAGAAAAAGCACCGGCUAACUACGUGCCAGCAGCCGCGGUAAUACGUAGGGUGCGAGCGUUAUCCGGAAUUAUUGGGCGUAAAGAGCUCGUAGGCGGUCUGUCGCGUCUGCUGUGAAAUCCCGAGGCUCAACCUCGGGCUUGCAGUGGGUACGGGCAGACUAGAGUGCGGUAGGGGAGAUUGGAAUUCCUGGUGUAGCGGUGGAAUGCGCAGAUAUCAGGAGGAACACCGAUGGCGAAGGCAGAUCUCUGGGCCGUUACUGACGCUGAGGAGCGAAAGCGUGGGGAGCAAACAGGCUUA
Molecule: ribosomal RNA, 717 nt
Filed under: bacterium xpnta462lbimtest2onp9.8dc
Lineage: Bacteria
Description: bacterial SSU rRNA
Rfam family: Bacterial small subunit ribosomal RNA
Source: RNAcentral